CUCACUUUGUGUAAUAACACACACGUAUCGACACAUGUUCCGGGGUGCCCGCAAGGGUCGGUUAACAUGGGAUACGUGGAGGCUUAAC
RNAcentral lists this small RNA (88 nucleotides) under Shimwellia blattae DSM 4481 = NBRC 105725. RNAcentral's name for it is "Escherichia blattae DSM 4481 t44 RNA". It matches the Rfam family "t44 RNA". Rfam says of the family: This family consists of a number of bacterial RNA genes of between 135 and 170 bases in length. The record is from Rfam by way of RNAcentral. Lineage: Bacteria; Pseudomonadati; Pseudomonadota; Gammaproteobacteria; Enterobacterales; Enterobacteriaceae.